UGAGAGUUUGAUCCUGGCUCAGGACGAACGCUGGCGGCGUGCCUAACACAUGCAAGUCGAGCGAGAAGAGUUCCUUCGGGAGUAAUUCUAGCGGCGGACGGGUGAGUAACACGUGGGCAACCUGCCUUAGUGAGGGGGAUAGCCUCCCGAAAGGGAGAUUAAUACCGCAUAACAUUAUUCUAUCGCAUGAUAGAAUAAUCAAAGGAGCAAUCCGCACUAAGAUGGGCCCGCGGCGCAUUAGCUAGUUGGUGAGGUAACGGCUCACCAAGGCGACGAUGCGUAGCCGACCUGAGAGGGUGAUCGGCCACAUUGGAACUGAGACACGGUCCAGACUCCUACGGGAGGCAGCAGUGGGGAAUAUUGCGCAAUGGGGGAAACCCUGACGCAGCAACGCCGCGUGAGCGAUGAAGGUCUUCGGAUUGUAAAGCUCUGUCUUUAGGGACGAUAAUGACGGUACCUAAGGAGGAAGCCACGGCUAACUACGUGCCAGCAGCCGCGGUAAUACGUAGGUGGCAAGCGUUGUCCGGA
Molecule: ribosomal RNA, 528 nt
Organism: Clostridium colicanis DSM 13634
Lineage: Bacteria; Bacillati; Bacillota; Clostridia; Eubacteriales; Clostridiaceae
Rfam family: Bacterial small subunit ribosomal RNA
Source: Rfam